UGUUGGCUUAGAAGCAGCCAUCAUUUAAAGAAAGCGUAAUAGCUCACUGGUCGAGUCGGCCUGCGCGGAAGAUGUAACGGGGCUAAACCAUGCACCGAAGCUGCGGCAGCGACACUGUGUGUUGUUGGGUAGGGGAGCGUUCUGUAAGCCUGUGAAGGUGUGUCGUGAGGCAUGCUGGAGGUAUCAGAAGUGCGAAUGCUGACAUAAGUAACGAUAAAGCGGGUGAAAAGCCCGCUCGCCGGAAGACCAAGGGUUCCUGUCCAACGUUAAUCGGGGCAGGGUGAGUCGACCCCUAAGGCGAGGCCGAAAGGCGUAGUCGAUGGGAAACGGGUUAAUAUUCCCGUACUUGGUGUUACUGCGAAGGGGGGACGGAGAAGGCUAUGUUGGCCGGGCGACGGUUGUCCCGGUUUAAGCGUGUAGGUGUGUGUUCCAGGUAAAUCCGGUUCACUUUAACACUGAGGCGUGACGACGAGGCACUACGGUGCUGAAGCAACAAAUGCCCUGCUUCCAGGAAAAGCCUCUAAGCAUCAGGUAACAUCAAAUCGUACCCCAAACCGACACAGGUGGUCAGGUAGAGAAUACCAAGGCGCUUGAGAGAACUCGGGUGAAGGAACUAGGCAAAAUGGUGCCGUAACUUCGGGAGAAGGCACGCUGACACGUAGGUGAAGUGAUUUACUCAUGGAGCUGAAGUCAGUCGAAGAUACCAGCUGGCUGCAACUGUUUAUUAAAAACACAGCACUGUGCAAACACGAAAGUGGACGUAUACGGUGUGACGCCUGCCCGGUGCCGGAAGGUUAAUUGAUGGGGUCAGCGCAAGCGAAGCUCCUGAUCGAAGCCCCGGUAAACGGCGGCCGUAACUAUAACGGUCCUAAGGUAGCGAAAUUCCUUGUCGGGUAAGUUCCGACCUGCACGAAUGGCGUAAUGAUGGCCAGGCUGUCUCCACCCGAGACUCAGUGAAAUUGAACUCGCUGUGAAGAUGCAGUGUACCCGCGGCAAGACGGAAAGACCCCGUGAACCUUUACUAUAGCUUGACACUGAACAUUGAGCCUUGAUGUGUAGGAUAGGUGGGAGGCUUUGAAGUGUGGACGCCAGUCUGCAUGGAGCCGACCUUGAAAUACCACCCUUUAAUGUUUGAUGUUCUAACGUGGACCCGUUACCCGGGUUGCGGACAGUGUCUGGUGGGUAGUUUGACUGGGGCGGUCUCCUCC
RNAcentral lists this ribosomal RNA (1208 nucleotides) under Salmonella enterica. Its description in RNAcentral is "partial 23S ribosomal RNA". It matches the Rfam family "Bacterial large subunit ribosomal RNA", at positions 1099 to 2290 of the family's 2925-position model. Lineage: Bacteria; Pseudomonadati; Pseudomonadota; Gammaproteobacteria; Enterobacterales; Enterobacteriaceae. The record is from RNAcentral. RNAcentral also lists the same sequence under 1 other name.